This is a non-coding RNA of Capsicum annuum, 107 nucleotides long. The record is from Rfam. Lineage: Eukaryota; Viridiplantae; Streptophyta; Magnoliopsida; Solanales; Solanaceae.
AUAUCAUGAUUUGGGAAUUGCAUCAAUUUAUCAUUAAAUCUUUGUAAAACUUCAUAUAAGGGUUCACCACUAAGUUAGUGAAAAUUUGUAAUCUCAUCCCUUAGUUG